CCCUGGCUGGUGUAGCUCAGUGGAUUGAGUGUGGGCCUGCGAACCAAAGGGUCGUGGUUCGAUUCCCAGUCAGGGCAUAUGCCUGGGUUGUAGGCCUGUUCCCAGCAGGGUACACAUGAGAAGCAACCACACAUUGAUGUUUCUCUCCCUCUCU
Molecule: long non-coding RNA, 154 nt
Organism: Phyllostomus discolor (pale spear-nosed bat)
Lineage: Eukaryota; Metazoa; Chordata; Mammalia; Chiroptera; Phyllostomidae
Exons: 3
Source: RefSeq, a predicted model, not a curated record